This 396-nucleotide ribosomal RNA is filed under the name Metagonia sp. 6 JJA-2006. RNAcentral's name for it is "partial 16S ribosomal RNA". It matches the Rfam family "Archaeal large subunit ribosomal RNA", at positions 1995 to 2668 of the family's 2987-position model. The record is from RNAcentral. Lineage: Eukaryota; Metazoa; Arthropoda; Arachnida; Araneae; Pholcidae.
AUGUAUAAAUAAAUAGCCGCAGACCCAUCUGUGCUAAGGUAGCAUAAUCAUUAGCUUUCUAAUUAAAAGAUAGAAUGAAAGGAGAAACGAAAUAACACUGUAUCUGUAUGAUUAAUUAACUUAGCAUUCUAGUAAAAAUACAAGAAUAAAAAAACAGGACGACAAGACCCCGAUAAACUCACCAUAUUUAGUUGGGGAAACAUUACAAAAACACUUUAUAAAUUAUAUAAAACAUAUCUAAUACAAUUUAACUUGACAAGUUACUACGGGGAUAACAGCGCUAUCCUUCUCAAGAGCUCCCAUCCCAAGAAGGGCUUACGACCUCGAUGUUGAAUUAGUUAAACUUCUAAUAACGCAAAAGUUUAGAAAGUAAGUCUGUUCGACUAACAACCAACU